RNAcentral lists this long non-coding RNA (2424 nucleotides) under Panax ginseng (ginseng). Its description in RNAcentral is "long non-coding RNA (PGIN_LNC003147)". Lineage: Eukaryota; Viridiplantae; Streptophyta; Magnoliopsida; Apiales; Araliaceae. The record is from RNAcentral.
UCCCGCCUCUCUAGUUUCUUCUGCAGCUUUUGCUCUUCAUCUCUUCGAGACUUCGACUCUUCCCUCUCGCCACUGCUGCCGCCGUCUGUCGCCAGUCGCCGCCAACCUCCAUCUCUUGCCUACCGCCUGUUUUGGACUUUAGUUUGGUAAGUAAUUUAAUUAAUUUUUAAUUUUAAUUUAGCCUAAAUGUCUCUCAAAUUUGGUACUAUUAAUUUUAAUUUAGCCUAACUAUGCAUACUAUUAAUGUUUCCUGUAAAUUAAGUCUCCACUUUGUAUGUAAUUUUGAUGAUGUCAAUUGACAAAUAAAUUUAGGGAUAUAAGAAAAAGAAUAAAAAUUGAUUUUUUGUUAAUUUAGGAAUAAUUGAUUUUAUUUUGUAAUUAUAAAAAUUAAGAUGGUUUAAUACCUUAAAUUAAGAAAGUACAACCCAUACGACCGGAGCCAGCACAGGUCUCCCCUUAAAAUAGGUUCUGAUUCCGCCACCGGGUAAUACAUUCUCACUCAUCUCUCUUACAAUUAUGGUGAGCAUAAUUAGAAAUGUACAAUUGAAUUUUCAAAAAAAAGUACUUGAGAUUUCAAACCAUAAUUACAAUUCCAGUUCAAUUUUGUAUCCCUAAUUUAAGUUCUUACAAAGAGACCACUUCAAAUUGUAAUUUCUAAAGAGUUAUCAGCGUAUAACAUGUCUUUUCAAAUGCAAGGUUAAUUUUAUUGUGUUUUGGUUAUGAGAUUUGAGUUAACACGCAAGAAGAUCUUUGGGUGUCCACGUUUGAACUGCUGUGUUUGAUAGUAGAACAAGAAAAUUACUACAUUUGCAGUUCAACACGAUAAACGUCACGUUUAAGAAAUAACUGAACAAACAUUAUAUUUCAUCUAGAUGAAUAUACUAAAAUCUUUAUCGUUUUAUAGCAUUAGAUUUGGAAUAUUACAACCAAAUUAGGUAAGAGAAUUUAAUAUCCAUAAUACAGACCCUAUAGGGUGUGAAAGGCACCCCAAGUAUCGGCGCGUGGGUAAAAGACAUGGUGGCGCUGACUCUGAAUUUGAUCAUUCAAUACACAAGUAAUUAGCAUACUCUCCAUUUUAAAUAAAAUAGAGAGUACUUAUUUUAUGAUUCUGAUUUAAAAUAUGUUGAAAUGUGAUAUUAUAAUAUAGGUAUUGAUAGUAUUUCUUUUUCCGAUUCGUUUAUAACCAUUUUAUAUUAGUAAGAAGUUAAUAAUGAAAUAUAUUAUAAUACUUUACAAUUGGUAGAAAUUUUAAAAUUCUUCUAUAGUAUUAAUUAUAUAAAUAAAAAAUAUGCAUGCUAUAUAGGUAAUAAACAUACAUUUACAGUUUUUGUACUAGCUAAAUCUAUAUAAUUCUUUGUUUCCAAAAAUUCAGAAGUUUUUACUACUGAAAAUUAAUUGAGUAUACAAGUAUACAGCUAGAGCUAGUAUAAUUAACAUAUUGUUUAAUAUAUAUAUAAUUGAAAGUCUUCAUAUUUAAGUUAAAAAUAAAGUGUAAGAAAAUUAUAAAAUAUAUAUGACAAGAAUAAUCAUAAUUUUCUUUUUAUGCAUAAUUUUAUACAUAAAAUAUAAUAUUUAAUUAAUAAAUAUUUUUAUUUAUACAUAUUAUACUAAAUAUUUUAAUAAUUAGUAAGAAAACAAGAAGAAAAAUAUGGCUGAAUUUGGAAAGUAGUGAUAAGUGACACGGCCAAGUGUCCACUUUAUGCCACGUAUAGACUACACGUGUCCUACAUGCAGCUGAAUAAUCCAAUAUCUCUCCGAUCCUUUCUUCUUACAACGAACACUAUAUUACACUGCAACAUUUAUAUAUUUAUAUUAUACGUAUCUUCCUCAAAAAAUUAUGUCCAGUUUCUUUGUCAAGAUAUCCUCCUGCAACCCAAUAUCUGCCAGAAAAAUCGGCCAUGUCGUCCGUAAAAGCCCAGUGAUCUAUUUUCCAACCCGAAUGCUACAAUCUAACCCGCCGGAGUUUCCCUCCAGGCCUCCGGUUAAACCUCAUACUCCAACGGAGCUACCACGGACCCCUAAUUACCCAGACUUCGGUCCGUUUCCGCCGGAUGAGAUUGCUGACCCGCCUCCACUUUCUCCUGGGCCUAACCCGGGCCAGGACUUUCCAGGCCCACCAACUCCGUCACCAUCGGUCCCUAACGCUCCUCGACCACCGAUGCCGUCACCGCCGGGACCAGAUAUACCUCAGAGACAGCCGCCAAAUGGGCCGGAUGUCAUACCUCUUGGGGUGCCGGAAAUUCCAACACCGUUAAUGGGCUCCGAUGGGUUGGUUUUUUGGUAAGAGGUGAUGCUUGGAGUGGUGCAUGUAUAUAAUUUUAACUUUACCUUUUGUAAUAAGCUAGGUUUCACAUAGUAGUAUAGUGUAGAAGUACGGACAGAAUUAAUUAAUUAUUGAUUAAUAUAUAUUUUUUUCUAUUUUAA